ACCAACAGGAGAUCAAACGGCGGUCCAUCAGAGGUGACUUGAGCAGCGGCGGGGCAGUGAAGGGCGGCCAGCACACACGUGGCUCUUAUUGGUUCACUGUGACUCACUGCUGACGACUUGUACUGUACAGGGUUGUGAGUGAAUGAUCUGAGUGUCGGUCUCACUCAUUCGAAGCUUCAAGUCGCACAGACGGCUGAUGGGGGGCGGGGAGGCAAGACUGGCCGGUCCACACACAGUCAGUCACCAGCGUGUCGUACACAGGAGAAAAAUAGUGGCACAGCGUGGACCACCAGGAGACAGGCAGCACACACUGAACAGUACAUACACCGGAGUGGAGUGGCGACACUACUAGUCAUGGCGGUACUUAACACCCGGCCAGGACUAACCGAUGCACGCUGCCCGUGACGAGUGCCUCGCAGUUUCUCUGCGUAUACGGUUAGUGUUGUGGCACGUGAGGACGUGAGGUCAAGCAGUGGAUGACUUCAGUCUCUGAUAGCGGAAGGAAGGAUGUGUCUCACCUUGACAUUUGGAACAAUUCCUCUGAAGAUAACUCUACAAACAGGAAACAUCCACUAAGAUGAUGAGGUCAUCAGGAGUGGGAAAUGGAAAGGCGCCAUGCUUAACAUCUUGGAGUCCAAGGAGAAGAAAGUGUUGUGCAGUUCUGAACAAGAGAGAAGGACUGGAAUGUUAGCAGCAGGUGAUGGUCCACCCCCCCCCCUAAUUGAUCCACUUGAUGACACCACAUUGUUGGUUGGAGACUUUAAGGAGUGAUUCACACUCCAUUAAUGGGAUCUGCCUUGAGAGUCCAGGCAAUGACACAGCAAAUUACAUGGAUAACCCGUCUAGUGAGCCCAACCCACCACUAGUCAUACAGCUCUCCUCUAAAGAUGAUGGUCUGCCCCAGGUUUCCUUCUUGGAGCCAUCUCCCCAUGCCGCCUCCUCGGUAGUGCUCUUGGAGGCAUCUAACGUGUUACCAAGUCCUUUACCAAAGGUGGGGGAAUUGCAGGUAGCAGCAAAGGAGCAGCAGCUGGUGCAGUGGGCACGUCAUGAGGCAUACGAGGGUACAAACGCAUGUCUUCAAUUUGUUA
Long non-coding RNA from Portunus trituberculatus (swimming crab), 1088 nucleotides. RefSeq lists it as uncharacterized. The transcript is spliced from 6 exons. The record is from RefSeq and is a predicted model, not a curated record. NCBI's taxonomy places the organism in Eukaryota, Metazoa, Arthropoda, Malacostraca, Decapoda, Portunidae.